RNAcentral lists this small nucleolar RNA (220 nucleotides) under Nelumbo nucifera (sacred lotus). RNAcentral's name for it is "Plant small nucleolar RNA U3". It matches the Rfam family "Plant small nucleolar RNA U3". Rfam says of the family: Small nucleolar RNAs (snoRNAs) are involved in the processing and modification of rRNA in the nucleolus. There are two main classes of snoRNAs: the box C/D class, and the box H/ACA class. Lineage: Eukaryota; Viridiplantae; Streptophyta; Magnoliopsida; Proteales; Nelumbonaceae. The record is from Rfam by way of RNAcentral.
ACGACCUUACUUGAACAGGAUCUGUUCUAUAGGCUCGUACCUCUGUAUCCUUGAGUUCUAAGGAGACAGGAAUCAACGUCUGGUGGAUGAUUUCGAACCGUGCGAUCAGAGCGUGAUUAAUUGCCUUUGGAUCUCAAGAUUCGAGUUUCUACGGGCCGUAGAGGAUCGUUCCUCAGUCCAUCUGAUGGCCUGGGAUGGUCGCACGGUUGUCUGACAGACU